GGAAAUGACCUUCCCCACUACACCAAGGGUAAUCAUGCUUGGAAAUAGCUCGAUGUCUGCAACCCGGUGGAUGGUCAGUAUGGAGGAGAAGGUAUUUUUCCAGCCUGAGCAACUCCAUGACUUUGCCAGCGUCCUUGCUGUCGUUUUUGGGUCAUAUUCUGUCUUCAAUCUGGAGUAUCAGGAGUCGGCAUCCACCACGCUGGAGAUGAUACAACGAUUCUUUGUGAGGAUCAAUCCAGAUGUUGGUACCAAAUGCACAGCCAAAGUCGAUACAAGCCGCAAGACGGGAAGUCUUGUCAAGAGGAAAGUAGUCAGUGUCAACUCCCAGAUCACCACCUUCUUCCAACAACUUGCUGAAUUUGAAUGGAGGACUUCCAACUAGUUCAGCUUCCACAAGAUGGAUCCCACUGAUUUUGUUUGACGAAUGGAAUAAAAGUUCUU
Molecule: long non-coding RNA, 441 nt
Organism: Xiphophorus maculatus (southern platyfish)
Lineage: Eukaryota; Metazoa; Chordata; Actinopteri; Cyprinodontiformes; Poeciliidae
Exons: 4
Source: RefSeq, a predicted model, not a curated record